Molecule: ribosomal RNA, 404 nt
Filed under: Verrucomicrobiota bacterium
Lineage: Bacteria; Pseudomonadati; Verrucomicrobiota
Description: Verrucomicrobia bacterium partial 16S ribosomal RNA
Rfam family: Bacterial small subunit ribosomal RNA
Source: RNAcentral
UGGGGAAUAUUGCACAAUGGAGGGAACUCUGAUGCAGCGACGCCGCGUGAACGAAGAAGGCUUUCGAGUCGUAAAGUUCUUUUAUAUGGGAAGAUAAUGACGGUACCAUAAGAAAAAGCCCCGGCUAAUUACGUGCCAGCAGCCGCGGUAAUACGUAAGGGGCGAGCGUUGUCCGGAAUUAUUGGGCGUAAAGAGUGCGUAUGCGGCAAAUUAAGUCAGAUGUGAAAACUAAGGGCUCAACCCAUAGAUUGCAUCUGAAACUGAUAUGCUUGAGUCAAGGAGAGGAAAGUCGAAUUCCUAGUGUAGCGGUGUAAUGCGUAGAUAUUAGGAGGAAUACCGGUGGCGAAGGCGACUUUCUGGCCUUGAACUGACGCUGAGGCACGAAAGCGUGGGGAGCAAACAGG